CACCGAAGCUGCGGCAGCGACACUGUGUGUUGUUGGGUAGGGGAGCGUUCUGUAAGCCUGUGAAGGUGUGUCGUGAGGCAUGCUGGAGGUAUCAGAAGUGCGAAUGCUGACAUAAGUAACGAUAAAGCGGGUGAAAAGCCCGCUCGCCGGAAGACCAAGGGUUUCUGUCCAACGUUAAUCGGGGCAGGGUGAGUCGACCCCUAAGGCGAGGCCGAAAGGCGUAGUCGAUGGGAAACGGGUUAAUAUUCCCGUACUUGGUGUUACUGCGAAGGGGGGACGGAGAAGGCUAUGUUGGCCGGGCGACGGUUGUCCCGGUUUAAGCGUGUAGGUGUGUGUUCCAGGUAAAUCCGGUUCACUUUAACACUGAGGCGUGACGACGAGGCACUACGGUGCUGAAGCAACAAAUGCCCUGCUUCCAGGAAAAGCCUCUAAGCAUCAGGUAACAUCAAAUCGUACCCCAAACCGACACAGGUGGUCAGGUAGAGAAUACCAAGGCGCUUGAGAGAACUCGGGUGAAGGAACUAGGCAAAAUGGUGCCGUAACUUCGGGAGAAGGCACGCUGACACGUAGGUGAAGUGAUUUACUCAUGGAGCUGAAGUCAGUCGAAGAUACCAGCUGGCUGCAACUGUUUAUUAAAAACACAGCACUGUGCAAACACGAAAGUGGACGUAUACGGUGUGACGCCUGCCCGGUGCCGGAAGGUUAAUUGAUGGGGUCAGCGCAAGCGAAGCUCCUGAUCGAAGCCCCGGUAAACGGCGGCCGUAACUAUAACGGUCCUAAGGUAGCGAAAUUCCUUGUCGGGUAAGUUCCGACCUGCACGAAUGGCGUAAUGAUGGCCAGGCUGUCUCCACCCGAGACUCAGUGAAAUUGAACUCGCUGUGAAGAUGCAGUGUACCCGCGGCAAGACGGAAAGACCCCGUGAACCUUUACUAUAGCUUGACACUGAACAUUGAGCCUUGAUGUGUAGGAUAGGUGGGAGGCUUUGAAGUGUGGACGCCAGUCUGCAUGGAGCCGACCUUGAAAUACCACCCUUUAAUGUUUGAUGUUCUAACGUGGACCCGUUACCCGGGUUGCGGACAGUGUCUGGUGGGUAGUUUGACUGGGGCGGUCUCCUCCUAAAGAGUAACGGAGGAGCACGAAGGUUGGCUAAUCCUGGUCGGACAUCAGGAGGUUAGUGCAAUGGCAUAAGCCAGCUUGACUGCGAGCGUGACGGCGCGAGCAGGUGCGAAAGCAGGUCAUAGUGAUCCGGUGGUUCUGAAUGGAAGGGCCAUCGCUCAACGGAUAAAAGGUACUCCGGGGAUAACAGGCUGAUACCGCCCAAGAGUUCAUAUCGACGGCGGUGUUUGGCACCUCGAUGUCGGCUCAUCACAUCCUGGGGCUGAAGUAGGUCCCAAGGGUAUGGCUGUUCGCCAUUUAAAGUGGUACGCGAGCUGGGUUUAGAACGUCGUGAGACAGUUCGGUCCCUAUCUGCCGUGGGCGCUGGAGAACUGAGGGGGGCUGCUCCUAGUACGAGAGGACCGGAGUGGACGCAUCACUGGUGUUCGGGUUGUCAUGCCAAUGGCACUGCCCGGUAGCUAAAUGCGGAAGAGAUAAGUGCUGAAAGCAUCUAAGCACGAAACUUGCCCCGA
This 1628-nucleotide ribosomal RNA is filed under the name Salmonella enterica. Its description in RNAcentral is "partial 23S ribosomal RNA". It matches the Rfam family "Bacterial large subunit ribosomal RNA", at positions 1192 to 2802 of the family's 2925-position model. Lineage: Bacteria; Pseudomonadati; Pseudomonadota; Gammaproteobacteria; Enterobacterales; Enterobacteriaceae. The record is from RNAcentral.